RNAcentral lists this non-coding RNA (29 nucleotides) under Mus musculus (house mouse). The record is from RNAcentral. Lineage: Eukaryota; Metazoa; Chordata; Mammalia; Rodentia; Muridae.
UAGACUGGUGAGAGGUUAUUGUAUCCUCC